UUGCUUAGCCUUACGUUGCCCUUCCAAAGAUCAUCAGGAAGGCGUUGCGUAACAGAUGUCAUUGGUUAGUUAGUUGGUUGUACAGUGCAAGCAGAGAAGACAAAGACGCAGAAAAUACUAAAGCUUUUCAAGUUUAUUUCUCUUGCAAGGAAAUUUUCCAGCUAGACUCAGAACUUUUACUUUUCUUCCUUCUCUUUUUGGUAUUCUCUCAACAAUAGGCAUUCAAAUUAUGGUGUCGCUGCUUCUAUCUUUAUCAUUUUAUUGCUGCAAAUGCUAUUGCUAAUUCACUUUAUGCCGUGCAUUCUGUAGGCUCUUUUUAUUCAGUCAGUUUACGUAAUAACCACUCAUGUGUAGAGAACUCCAUGCGGCAUCAUUGUCCUAUUUGUUAUGAGUAUCUCUUUGAUUCUCUUAAGGACACAACAAUACUGAAAUGUAGGGCACACGAUGCACAAUCACGAGAUGAUAAAGCGUGACAAAUUGAAGAGACAAUCAUGCCUGAAGAUCUUAGAUACAAGAAGCUUGAUGGAGGGUCUACUUUAGAGUACAAGGAUCAUCGGAUGACAACAAUACAAAUCACCAAGCAAAUACAAAGUACUAUAAGUUUCCAUUCCGAAUAAUAAAUAUUUGAGUUACCUUGCAGGAGUAGUUAGUAUUAGUUUAGUUUGAUUGGGAUUUGAACAAUUGAUGUUUGUUAAUUGUUAUUAUGGUUAUUUGUAGUGAAGUUUGAUUUAUGAUA
Molecule: non-coding RNA, 736 nt
Organism: Nicotiana tabacum (common tobacco)
Lineage: Eukaryota; Viridiplantae; Streptophyta; Magnoliopsida; Solanales; Solanaceae
Source: RefSeq, a predicted model, not a curated record